GCCAGCAGCCAUAUUACUCUACAGCUCCCAGCUGGCAGCCCCCCCACUGGAGCUCAGCAGGUGGGAGCCUGGUCAGUACCUGGAGGGGAGACCUCCUGGGAAAAACUGAGGCUGCUGCUGGGA
Molecule: ribosomal RNA, 123 nt
Filed under: Lepisosteus oculatus (spotted gar)
Lineage: Eukaryota; Metazoa; Chordata; Actinopteri; Semionotiformes; Lepisosteidae
Source: RNAcentral